UGAUCAUUAUCAAGGCUUUUGGAAUGCAGUUUCUCAAUUGCUGUGGACAUGACCCUAAAAAAAGACUUUCCACUAGGUUUUCUAUCUGCUACUUUGAAAGAACUCAGCCUACUGGGAACAUUU
Molecule: small nucleolar RNA, 123 nt
Organism: Nycticebus coucang (slow loris)
Lineage: Eukaryota; Metazoa; Chordata; Mammalia; Primates; Lorisidae
Product: small nucleolar RNA SNORA32
Exons: 1
Source: RefSeq, a predicted model, not a curated record